RNAcentral lists this ribosomal RNA (506 nucleotides) under uncultured bacterium. RNAcentral describes it as "partial 16S ribosomal RNA". It matches the Rfam family "Bacterial small subunit ribosomal RNA", at positions 30 to 523 of the family's 1533-position model. The record is from RNAcentral.
AUUGAACGCUGGCGGCAGGCCUAACACAUGCAAGUCGAACGGUAACAGGAAACAGCUUGCUGUUUCGCUGACGAGUGGCGGACGGGUGAGUAAUGUCUGGGAAACUGCCUGAUGGAGGGGGAUAACUACUGGAAACGGUAGCUAAUACCGCAUAACGUCGCAAGACCAAAGAGGGGGACCUUCGGGCCUCUUGCCAUCGGAUGUGCCCAGAUGGGAUUAGCUAGUAGGUGGGGUAACGGCUCACCUAGGCGACGAUCCCUAGCUGGUCUGAGAGGAUGACCAGCCACACUGGAACUGAGACACGGUCCAGACUCCUACGGGAGGCAGCAGUGGGGAAUAUUGCACAAUGGGCGCAAGCCUGAUGCAGCCAUGCCGCGUGUAUGAAGAAGGCCCUCGGGUUGUAAAGUACUUUCAGCGGGGAGGAAGGGAGUAAAGUUAAUACCUUUGCUCAUUGACGUUACCCGCAGAAGAAGCACCGGCUAACUCCGUGCCAGCCGCCGCCGUAC